UCCCUUUUCAUAUAUCUAUCCAUCACUUCCCCACCCCACACACCAACACAAACACGUAGACUAUGUAAUACGCUAUGUCUCCUUCUCCUUUUCGUCUCUUUCUUUGAAAACCCUAGAAAUCUCAGGUUUUUAAGGAAAAGAGGACUUUGAUUCGGUGCAAUUUUAUCCCUUUCUCCUUUUUUUGUCGGUGUACAUAUGGGGUUAUAUUUCGCGGGAUCCCCAAUUUUCUAAGAAAAAAUUGGUUGUUAGAAGUUGGUGCUAUGGAGAGAUCCAAUAGCAGAGAUUUCAAAGACUUGACUAGCUCCUCUGGCUCCAUCUCAGAUGGUGCCCUCUUUGAUGCAUCACAAUAUGCAUUUUUUGGGCGAGAUAUAGCGGAGGAAGUUGAAUUGGGUGGUUUAGAGGACGGACAAGACAAUAGUGAUCUGGGUGUUGGAGGUGGAUUAGGUGAUGACGAGAUACAGGAGUAUCAUUUAUUUGAGAAAGACGAGGGAUCUGUGGUGGGCUCAUUAUCGGACAUAGAUGAUCUAGCAACGACAUUUUCAAAGUUGAACAGAAAUGUCACUGGACCAAGGCAUCCUGGUGUUAUUGGUGACCGUGGAUCAGGCUCUUUUUCAAGGGAAAGUUCAUCUGCAGCUGAUUGGGCGAAAGAAGCAGACUUUCAUGAUUGGUUUGAUCAGCAUUUAUCUGACACUGAAUGUUACCAGGAAAGCAAAAAAUGGUCUUCACAGCCACAUAUCUCUGCAGUGCUUGCAGAGUCAAAACCAUUGUAUAGAACAUCCUCAUACCCCGAGCAACCCCCACAACCUCAACAACUUCAGCACUACUCUAGUGAACCCAUUUUACUACCGAAAUCAUCUUAUACUUCUUUUCCUCCUGGUGGUAGAUCUCAACCCUCACCACAUAGCCUUUCGCGACAAAACAUGUCAUCUCUUUCUGCUGGACCUCAGUCCCCCUAUUCUUCUCUGAAUCUCUCUUCGUUGCCGAACUCUAAUCUGCAUUUGACAGGCUUGGCUCAUGGGCUUCACUAUGGUAGUGGAAACAUCCAACAUUUGAACCCUACUGGUCUUUCUCAUAAUUCUAGGUUGCAAAACCAGUGGAGCAGUCAUGCAGGACUCAUCCAUGGGGACCAUUCUGGUCUCUUAGAUAGUGUCUUGCAGCAUCAAUUUCCUCAUCAAAACAGCUUACUAUCUCCCCAGUUACUGUCCCCACAGCAGCUCCAACAGCAGAGACUUCAUCUUUCAGUUCAGCCUUCUUUAGCUCAUUUUUCAGCGCUAAGAUCCCAAUUGUAUAAUUCCUUCCCUUCACCAUCUCAUCUAGGUAAGUAUGGAUUGGCAGAUUUCAGAGAUUCACGAUCUAAGCCAUCACAGAAGGUUAGACAAAAUGUGCGUUUUUCUAAACAAGGCUCUGAUGCUGCUUGCCACAAAAGUGAAAGUAAUGUGCCACAGUUCCGAUCUAAGUAUAUGACUGGUGAUGAAAUAGAGAGCAUCCUGAAAAUGCAGCAUUCUGCAGCACAUGGCAAUGAUCCAUAUGUAGAUGACUACUAUCACCAGGCCCGCCUUGCAAAGAAAGCAGCUGAGUCUAGGUCAAAAUAUCGCUUUUGUCCAAAUAAGGAACAGUCUUCUCGGUCACGUAAUAGUGCAGAAUCACAGCCUCAUCUUCAUGUUGAUGCUCAGGGGCGGGUGUCAUUUUCUUCCAUCCGCAGGCCUCGUCCACUUCUUGAAGUUGAUCCACCAGGCUUUGUUUGCAUUGACAGCAGUGCUGACCAGAAGAUAUCUGAGAGACCCUUGGAACAGGAGCCAAUGCUGGCAGCUAGAAUUACAAUAGAAGAUGGUUUCUAUCUUCUCACUGAGGUAGAUGACAUUGACAGGCUCCUUCAGUUUAGUCAGCCCCAAGACUGUGGUGCUCAGCUCAAGCGGAAGCGACAGAUCCUGCUGGAAGGCAUGGCCGCCUCACUUCAACUAGUUGAUCCGCUUGGUAAAGGUGGAAGUUCUGUCGGGCUUACUCCUAAAGAUGACAUUGUAUUUCUAUGGUUGGUGUCUCUUCCCAAGGGCCGGAAUCUCAUGUCAAGGUAUCUUCAGCUUCUUCUGCCUGGCAAUGAGCUUGUCAGAAUAGUUUGUAUGGCAAUUUUCCGCCAUUUGAGGUUUUUGUUUGGCGGUCAUCCACCUGAUGUUGGAGCAGCUGAAACCAUCACUGAUCUUGCAAAAGUAGUCUCUAAAUGUGUCACUCUCAUGGACCUUAAUUCACUGAGUGCUUGUCUUGCUGCUGUUGUGUGUUCCUCAGAACAACCACCUCUUCGCCCUCUUGGAAGCCCUGCUGGAGAUGGAGCUUCUAUUAUUUUAAAAUCUGUUCUUGAAGGGGCCACUCAUCUAUUAACUGAUUCUAAGGCUGCUAGCAGUUUCAGCAUGCCUAAUCCUGCCCUUUGGCAGGCAUCUUUUGAUGCCUUUUUUGGUUUACUUACAAAGUAUUGUCUGAGCAAGUAUGACAGUAUCAUGCAAUCGAUUCUAGCACAAUCCCAGCCGGAUGCUGAAAUUAUUGGUGCAGAGGCUGCAAGAGCGGUAAGCAGAGAAAUGCCUGUGGAACUUUUACGUGCUAGUCUUCCACAUACAAAUGACCACCAAAAGAAGCUGUUGUUGAAUUUCGCUCAGCGGUCUAUGCCUGUUACUGGAUUCAGUUCUCAUGGUGGAAGCAGUGGACAUAUAGAUCCCGAAUCUGUAAGCUGUUAGCUGAGAUGGUUUUGUUCGUUGAAGGGCUUUUGGAGACGACUUUGAAGAAACUUGGAAUUCUCAAUCAUCCAAGUUGGGCAAUGAAUACACAAAGGAACGUGACAAGAAGACUUAAAGAAGAGAAUGCCAAUGCGGGAGUUCCUCCCAAUGGCGAUCAAGUUCCUCCUCUUAAAGAAGAUGUUAAUGAUGACCAAGCUCCGGUCCAUACUCCUUCAACGGAUGGUGCCAUCCGGGCUGCUCUUUUCAAAAUGGUCCAAGCCAUCAUUACUCAAGCACAAGCCUCUACUAUCCAAGCUCAAUCCAGAAGGCCAAAGAUAAUCGGGAGGUUGUACCCCGAGCAAACCAAUAAGUUGCUACCAUGUCUUCCAGUCUAAAGGAUUUCACUAUAAUGAAUCCCCCUACUUUCUAUGGGUCCAAGGUUGAAGAAGACUCCCAUGAGUUCAUUGAGAAAUCUACAAGAUCCUCUAUGCUAUGAGGUUGACUACAAGUGAGAAAGCAGAGUUGGCCACUUGAUAGCUCAAAGGUGUGGCCCACACUUGGUAUGUUCAAUGGAGGGACAAUAGGCCGUUAAGGGGUGGACCAGUGACUUGGGAGGUGUUAAAGAAGGCUUUUAUUGAUAGAUUCUUUUUUUAGGGAGAAUAGGGAAGCCAAGGUGGUGGAUUUCAUCAACAUUUACCAAGGAGGGAUGAAAUGAGUUGCUUUGUGACGGGAGUGUCGGAUGACUUUCAAGAAGAGUGUCAUUAGUCUAUGCUACAUGACAAUAUGAAAAUUUCUUGUCUCAUGGUUCAUGCUCAACAAGUGGAAGAGGCAAUGUCUAAGAGAAAGAUUAGAGAUGAGAAGAUGGCAAGAUCUUUUGAUGGUGGUUCUUCAAAGGAUAGGCUUGAUAUCCAAGACAAGCCUAGGUUUUAGAAGAGGUUCUAUAAUCAAUUUCCUUCCAAGUUCUUUAAGGCUCGUGAUGAUAGGGUGUCUAUACCUAAUCCUAAAAAGGGAAGGGAUGCUAGUUCACCAACCAAUAAGCCUACUUGUGCAAAGUGUGGAAAGGGUCACUUAGGGGAAUGCUUAGUUGGAAUGGGAAUUGUUUUGGUUGUGGCAAGAGCGGGUCACAAGGUUAGGGAUUGAACUAAUGUGAAGGGUCAACACAAGGGUAGUGCUCAAGUUAAAGCAAGUGGUUCUAAUGGUGAUCCAAAGAAGAAUCGCUUUUAUGCACUUUGCUCAAGGGGUGAGCAAGAGACUUCUCCCGAUGCGGUGAACGGUUCCGCUCGUUGAAGGGCUUUUGGGGAUGACUUUUAAGAAAACAUGGAAAUCUCAAUCAUCCAAGCUGGUUUGAGUUGUUGAAGAGUUUGGAAGGCAAUAUUAUUAAAGGCUUGGAUUCUUUAUUUCAUCCAAGUAGGGUAGGUCCUCAACUUUCGAGGGCAAUGCCAUCCUCUAGCUUUGGAUUUUGUUAUGAGAAUAUUAACUCUAUCAUUCCUUUCAUUUUUAAUUGAAUAUUGUACUUUUGUAUGACCUACAGAUGGUCUUGUUGAAUUGAUGUAAGGGCUAUGCCCAUAUUGUGAUAUUCGUUUUGAUGGUAUGCGAUGAGACAAUUAUUGAGACUAAUUCUAUAUUUUUAUA
This is an RNA transcript of Solanum lycopersicum (tomato), 4334 nucleotides long. It is a transcript of the gene named protein PAT1 homolog 1-like, with no coding region annotated. The record is from RefSeq and is a predicted model, not a curated record. NCBI's taxonomy places the organism in Eukaryota, Viridiplantae, Streptophyta, Magnoliopsida, Solanales, Solanaceae.